Molecule: long non-coding RNA, 206 nt
Filed under: Linum usitatissimum (flax)
Lineage: Eukaryota; Viridiplantae; Streptophyta; Magnoliopsida; Malpighiales; Linaceae
Description: long non-coding RNA (LUSI_LNC000069)
Source: RNAcentral
CCUCCUUUCAGGCAGCACAACGACUAGUACAUUGUCAACCUGAAGACCAGAAAAUAUUAACCAUACAUUUUGCCAAAAAGGUUUCCAAUUUCACAAAGGAUAACUUAAACAUGAACAUGAAUGGAAAUACAUUAGUCCAACACCAGCUUAAAAGUAGAAUAUGAUUACCAAAUUCAAACCUAGAUUCAGAAAGUAAUAGUCGUCAC